Molecule: ribosomal RNA, 1025 nt
Filed under: Salmonella enterica subsp. enterica
Lineage: Bacteria; Pseudomonadati; Pseudomonadota; Gammaproteobacteria; Enterobacterales; Enterobacteriaceae
Description: partial 23S ribosomal RNA
Rfam family: Bacterial large subunit ribosomal RNA
Source: RNAcentral
AGACCCGAAACCCGGUGAUCUAGCCAUGGGCAGGUUGAAGGUUGGGUAACACUAACUGGAGGACCGAACCGACUAAUGUUGAAAAAUUAGCGGAUGACCUGUGGCUGGGGGUGAAAGGCCAAUCAAACCGGGAGAUAGCUGGUUCUCCCCGAAAGCUAUUUAGGUAGCGCCUCGUGAAUUCAUCUCCGGGGGUAGAGCACUGUUUCGGCUAGGGGGCCAUCCCGGCUUACCAACCCGAUGCAAACUGCGAAUACCGGAGAAUGUUAUCACGGGAGACACACGGCGGGUGCUAACGUCCGUCGUGAAGAGGGAAACAACCCAGACCGCCAGCUAAGGUCCCAAAGUCAUGGUUAAGUGGGAAACGAUGUGGGAAGGCCCAGACAGCCAGGAUGUUGGCUUAGAAGCAGCCAUCAUUUAAAGAAAGCGUAAUAGCUCACUGGUCGAGUCGGCCUGCGCGGAAGAUGUAACGGGGCUAAACCAUGCACCGAAGCUGCGGCAGCGACGCUUAUGCGUUGUUGGGUAGGGGAGCGUUCUGUAAGCCGUUGAAGGUGGCCUGUGAGGGUUGCUGGAGGUAUCAGAAGUGCGAAUGCUGACAUAAGUAACGAUAAAGCGGGUGAAAAGCCCGCUCGCCGGAAGACCAAGGGUUCCUGUCCAACGUUAAUCGGGGCAGGGUGAGUCGACCCCUAAGGCGAGGCCGAAAGGCGUAGUCGAUGGGAAACGGGUUAAUAUUCCCGUACUUGGUGUUACUGCGAAGGGGGGACGGAGAAGGCUAUGUUGGCCGGGCGACGGUUGUCCCGGUUUAAGCGUGUAGGUGUGUGUUCCAGGUAAAUCCGGUUCACUUUAACACUGAGGCGUGAUGACGAGGCACUACGGUGCUGAAGUAACAAAUGCCCUGCUUCCAGGAAAAGCCUCUAAGCAUCAGGUAACAUCAAAUCGUACCCCAAACCGACACAGGUGGUCAGGUAGAGAAUACCAAGGCGCUUGAGAGAACUCGGGUGAAGGAACUAGGCAAAAUGGUGCCGUAA